RNAcentral lists this ribosomal RNA (372 nucleotides) under uncultured organism. Its description in RNAcentral is "bacterial SSU rRNA". It matches the Rfam family "Bacterial small subunit ribosomal RNA", at positions 526 to 896 of the family's 1533-position model. The record is from RNAcentral.
CGUAGGGGGCAAGCGUUGUCCGGAAUCAUUGGGCGUAAAGCGCGUGUAGGCGGUUCAGUAAGUCUGCUGUGAAAGUCCAGGGCUCAACCCUGGGAUGCCGGUGGAUACUGCUGGACUAGAGUGCGGAAGAGGCGAGUGGAAUUCCCGGUGUAGCGGUGAAAUGCGCAGAUAUCGGGAGGAACACCAAUUGCGAAGGCAGCUCGCUGGGACGUUACUGACGCUGAGACGCGAAAGCGUGGGGAGCAAACAGGAUUAGAUACCCUGGUAGUCCACGCCGUAAACGAUGGGCACUAGGUGUGGGAGGUGUCGACUCCUUCCGUGCCGAAGCUAACGCAUUAAGUGCCCCGCCUGGGGAGUACGGCCGCAAGGCUA